Triticum dicoccoides is the source of this 332-nucleotide long non-coding RNA. RefSeq lists it as uncharacterized. Lineage: Eukaryota; Viridiplantae; Streptophyta; Magnoliopsida; Poales; Poaceae. The record is from RefSeq and is a predicted model, not a curated record. The transcript is spliced from 3 exons.
CUGAUAUUACCUACACCAGGGCAGAAUGAUGAAUUCUACGAAGGAUGCUCAUGGAAGGAAAGGCUAUGUUGUCUUAACAAGGAUGGAAAGUAUAACAACAUACACAAACUAACAUGGAUAACCCAGAUCUGGAUAGAUGGGACCUAGAAGAAACACAAGAAACAGAAGAAAAAGUCUCAAAAUUGCGAAAGGGCGAUAUAGAGGCUGGCGAUCAACUCUAAGCUCCACUUACAAGGCAUACAAAAUAGAUGCAGCUAGAUUGGCUAAUCUACCGGAUGAUUUACAACCAGAAGAGUGGGAAUGGAUGAUUGAGUACUUUGUCACUAAUUCAU